This 407-nucleotide ribosomal RNA is filed under the name uncultured bacterium. RNAcentral's name for it is "partial 16S ribosomal RNA". It matches the Rfam family "Bacterial small subunit ribosomal RNA", at positions 30 to 526 of the family's 1533-position model. The record is from RNAcentral.
AUUGAACGCUGGCGGCAGGCCUAACACAUGCAAGUCGAGCGGAGCGGCGGACGGGCGAGUAAUGCCUAGGAAUCUGCCUGGUAGUGGGGGAUAACGUCCGGAAACGGGCGCUAAUACCGCAUACUAUCAGAUGAGCCUAGGUCGGAUUAGCUAGUUGGUGGGGUAAAGGCCUACCAUGGCGACGAUCCGUAACUGGUCUGAGAGGAUGAUCAGUCACACUGAAACUGAGAGACGGUCCAGACUCCGACGGGAGGCAGCAGUGGAGAAUAUUGGACAAUGGGCGAAAGCCUGAUCCAGCCAUGCCGCGGGUGUGAAGAAGGUCUUCGGAUUGUAAAGCACUGUAAGUUGGGAGGCGUUACCAGCAGAAGAAGCACCGGCUAACUUCGUGCCAGCAGCCGCGGUAAUUC